GAUGAACGCUAGCGGGAGGCCUAACACAUGCAAGCCGAGCGGUAUUUGUUCUUCGGAACAGAGAGAGCGGCGCACGGGUGCGGAACACGUGUGCAACCUGCCUUUAUCUGGGGGAUAGCCUUUCGAAAGGAGGAUUAAUACCCCAUAAUAUAUUGAGUGGCAUCAUUUGAUAUUGAAAACUCCGGUGGAUAGAGAUGGGCACGCGCAAGAUUAGAUAGUUGGUGAGGUAACGGCUCACCAAGUCAAUGAUCUUUAGGGGGCCUGAGAGGGUGAUCCCCCACACUGGUACUGAGACACGGACCAGACUCCUACGGGAGGCAGCAGUGAGGAAUAUUGGACAAUGGGUUAGCGCCUGAUCCAGCCAUCCCGCGUGAAGGACGACGGCCCUAUGGGUUGUAAACUUCUUUUGUAUAGGGAUAAACCUACUCUCGUGAGAGUAGCUGAAGGUACUAUACGAAUAAGCACCGGCUAACUCCGUG
Molecule: ribosomal RNA, 479 nt
Filed under: uncultured bacterium
Lineage: Bacteria
Description: partial 16S ribosomal RNA
Rfam family: Bacterial small subunit ribosomal RNA
Source: RNAcentral